UACGUAGGGGGCGAGCGUUGUCCGGAUUUAUUGGGCGUAAAGAGCUCGUAGGCGGCUUAGUAAGUCGGGUGUGAAACCUCCAGGCUCAACCUGGAGACGCCACCCGAUACUGCUGUGGCUAGAGUCCGGUAGGGGAGCGUGGAAUUCCUGGUGUAGCGGUGAAGUGCGCAGAUAUCAGGAGGAACACCAGCGGCGAAGGCGGCGCUCUGGGCCGGUACUGACGCUGAGGAGCGAAAGCGUGGGGAGCAAACAGG
RNAcentral lists this ribosomal RNA (254 nucleotides) under uncultured bacterium. Its description in RNAcentral is "partial 16S ribosomal RNA". It matches the Rfam family "Bacterial small subunit ribosomal RNA", at positions 524 to 776 of the family's 1533-position model. The record is from RNAcentral.